GUAUUUGGUCGUAGACCCGAAACCAGGUGAUCUACCCUUGGUCAGGUUGAAGUUCAGGUAACACUGAAUGGAGGACCGAACCGACUUACGUUGAAAAGUGAGCGGAUGAACUGAGGGUAGCGGAGAAAUUCCAAUCGAACCUGGAGAUAGCUGGUUCUCUCCGAAAUAGCUUUAGGGCUAGCCUCAAGUGAUGAUUAUUGGAGGUAGAGCACUGUUUGGACGAGGGGCCCCUCUCGGGUUACCGAAUUCAGACAAACUCCGAAUGCCAAUUAAUUUAACUUGGGAGUCAGAACAUGGGUGAUAAGGUCCGUGUUCGAAAGGGAAACAGCCCAGACCACCAGCUAAGGUCCCAAAAUAUAUGUUAAGUGGAAAAGGAUGUGGCGUUGCCCAGACAACUAGGAUGUUGGCUUAGAAGCAGCCAUCAUUUAAAGAGUGCGUAAUAGCUCACUAGUCGAGUGACACUGCGCCGAAAAUGUACCGGGGCUAAACAUAUUACCGAAGCUGUGGAUUGUCCUUUGGACAAUGGUAGGAGAGCGUUCUAAGGGCGUUGAAGCAUGAUCGUAAGGACAUGUGGAGCGCUUAGAAGUGAGAAUGCCGGUGUGAGUAGCGAAAGACGGGUGAGAAUCCCGUCCACCGAUUGACUAAGGUUUCCAGAGGAAGGCUCGUCCGCUCUGGGUUAGUCGGGUCCUAAGCUGAGGCCGACAGGCGUAGGCGAUGGAUAACAGGUUGAUAUUCCUGUACCACCUAUAAUCGUUUUA
RNAcentral lists this ribosomal RNA (758 nucleotides) under Staphylococcus aureus. RNAcentral describes it as "partial 23S ribosomal RNA". It matches the Rfam family "Bacterial large subunit ribosomal RNA", at positions 699 to 1461 of the family's 2925-position model. The record is from RNAcentral. Lineage: Bacteria; Bacillati; Bacillota; Bacilli; Caryophanales; Staphylococcaceae.